Molecule: long non-coding RNA, 3666 nt
Filed under: Setaria italica (foxtail millet)
Lineage: Eukaryota; Viridiplantae; Streptophyta; Magnoliopsida; Poales; Poaceae
Description: long non-coding RNA (SITA_LNC004241)
Source: RNAcentral
ACAACAAAAAGUUUCACCCAUGCAUGCUACAUUAAUUUUGAAGUUACCAGCAGUUUCAAAGGCAGAGCUGACGCCAAUGCCAGAGGCUGCAUAAUAAAACACCAGAGAAAAGCCAUCCAACAUUAGCUCUGGCUCCAUUCGGACGUGAAUGGCAACGGUACUUCAUCUCAAAUUCUCAAGUGUACAUAUUCACAUAAAACACACACGAGUCACUAAAAACAACAAUCAAACUAGCACUACCAAGUCUUACAUAUACAAUCUGUACCGUCUUUGCAUCUUCGGGCAGUUUAUUUUCUUGUCUCCGGCCCAACAGUAUAUAUUUGCUUCUAACGUGUAUACAUAUAUGCACAUAAAAGAAACAGCCUGAACAGGCUGCAAACACCCAACCCAACAGUUUUUCCUUUGGUCAAGAACCUGCCCACAUCUUCGGUCCUGAGCUGCCCACAGAUCCAGAGUUCACCAGCUACAAUGUACACAGACCUGGUAUAGGAGGAGGAGACCAUUCCGUGGAUGCAGAUAAGGAGAAAUGUGAAAAAGCCCAUACUAGUGAGAUGGAUGGUGCGAGACUCAGCAUCGGAACCGGAUGACGAUGCACGAGAUAUCGUCCUUGCUCAUCCUCCCCAGGGCCUCGGAUGUUAGUCGCUUCGCUGCUGUUUGUGGGUCCUUGGUCGACUUCACCAGAUCAACAGCUUCUUGGUUCUUCAUUACCUUUACCCAGCAAAGACACAGACAAACAACAGAUUUAUAAGCACACUUUUAGGAAUAUAAAUCAUAAUUAUACAUGGCUCCACGUGUUAAUUUGUUGCUCAGGCAUAUCUAUUUGUGUUUAACAUACGACAAGAAAUAGCAGUAUUUUAACUGGAUCACUAAUCAAAGCUACUACGAUUUGGCCCAUCUUAACCAAGUGACAGAUCAGCUAAUUGGUCUUACGAAAUUGCAAUUUUUCUGCUCAGAAAGUUUUUCUUGUCUUUCGCAAUAAAAAAGGUACAUAUAAACUAAUGGAUAAGAAAACAAUAAGAAAAAAAUUUAUGGAUUGAUUUCCCAAAUGAAAAUGUCAAUGUGUGGUCACAAAUUCUGUACUAUGGAAGGUGAUAUCAUAAAGUGAAAUUGGCGGAGAAAACACAUACCUUCCACAAUCCAUCACUGGCAAGUAUGACAAAUUCUACACUCGGAUUUAUCUGUAUAUGCUUAACAUCCGGUUCUGAGCUCAAGUGCGCCUUGAGGCUCUGAUCACCAAAAGCUCUUGCAACGGCAAGUUGGCCAUUUACACGAGGAACGUCACCUAUCAGCAACUAGAAAAUGCAUUGAGACAGUUUACAUUGCGAUAGGAUAAAACAACGAUGAAAUAGUUAGGCAACUAGAUGCUUACCGGGGAAAGUAGAAACAAAACCACCUUGCUUUUCAAUCCUUUUUCGUUCAUUAGUUGUAUGGGGUUCAUGAUCAACGGUAAGCUGAUUAGCAGUACCUCUUUCACACACAACAGCUCUUGAAUCACCUAUAUUUGCUAUCCACAUAUCUUUACCAUCAACUACAAUAGCAGUAACUGCUGUUGAACCGCCUGGUCCUAGUUGUUUAGAAUUUUCCAGAAUAUAUUUGUUUGUAGAGCUGUAUGCAUUUUUAAUGGAUUCUUGAGGGUCCGACCAGAAGAGAGGCUGUAAAUACCAUAAAUCGGAAACAGGAUGAGUACCUUCGUAGAGGAAAUGUCAUAAAUUGAAAUUGCAUAAGUUUCUUUCAGUAUGUUUUACAUGGAAAUUACAUAAAUGUAGUCAUGUUUUACAUGGAAAAUACACAAGAAAAUGAAAAUCUUACCUCUUUCAGUAUGUUGUUAAAAAGAUUAGCUUUCAAAUAACUGGCCACGCUAUCUCCCAAAUGGCCAUCAUAAAUGGCAAACAGACCAAGUUCAUGAUCAUUUUCAUAUCUGUACUCUGCUACGUGGUAGUCUUCCAUGUCAUGGCCAGAUCUUCCUUCCACUAAGUGAAAUCCAUGUGUUACUUUGUUGCUCGACAACUUACUUUGUCCUUUUCCAGUAUCAGAUGAUGAUGAACUGAGACACGCUGCAGUCUUUAGAGUACAUGUAAGAAAACAAAGGUUACAUCAACAGAUUCAUUUUAAAUCGCUAGCAAUUGUUAAAGCACUGAUGGAACACAACAAAGAAAAGGAAUCCAAGUGUGAAAGUAUUAACAUUUACAAUGAAAAUGAAGUUUAUAAUGUCAUAAAAAUAGUUGAUGUAAAAUUAAUAUUCUGAUUACUAUAUAAUUAUCAUGAAAAUUGAAGUGUUCACUAUAGGAUCUUGGACUUGGAUUGGAUCAUCUCGAAACAGAGAAAUGACUGUAUUUUCUAACAAAUCAAACCCAGGUUUCAAAAGUGGAAAAAUGACUUCUUCCGUUUAGUCUCCCUUCAACUGCACAGAAUGAAUGGUACACUAGAGCUAUUUAUCUUCCUGGCUAAAUGCCCUUUUAUAGCUUUGGCCAUAGUUGGUGCAUGUUCCCUUAGUCUUUUUAUUUUCUGGCCUUUUGACGCCAUGUACAGUUUUUCUUUUCCGUUUUUAUUCCUGUAUAUAAUAUAUUUACCAAUUACCACUAGGGGCUUCCCCUACUGUUUCUGCUCAAAGGAAAAAAAAAGUACACCAUAGCCUCACUAGUUAUUGUGAAGGAGCUUGCUGGCGUAGGUGGGAAGAGAAAAUCAUCGAAGAUAUCAGCUGAGACAUGCCCAGUACUAGUUUGACAAAAUGGAAACUGGGAGUUGUAUGUUUUGGGAGUUCCAAAAGAAAAAAAACAUUUUGAGAGAUGGUUAUAAUUAUUCAUCCCUAAUGUUAGGCAUGGUUAAAUCCUGAUGGUUGUGCAGAUGUUUCUCAUCCAUUAAUGCAACAAUUUGGGACACAGACGACCACAUUCACCGCCCUAUCUUCUACAUAUAGGCAUGUGCUGGGUUGACAAACAUAUAUGUGGCAUUCAUAAAUCCAACAGAUCCAUCAUAGCCCAUAGACCCCUACUGAAACAUGACACUCAGAUUCAGAGUUACUCCUUAUACAGUUAUACGGUUAUACCUAACACGGUAACACCAAAAGCUGCUAUAUUGCAGUUUCAAUUUCAGAAACCCUGAAGGCUAGCUGAAAAUCUAGAACUGGAAUGCAUCAAGAUUUGAGAAGCCUCACUUCUGCGAUUUGCCACUCUGACAAGAAUGAUUCAUAGCAACUACACCCCAAACCCAGCUCUUUAUCGCAGCACGUGUGGCUUACUGGCUUUGCAGCGUUCUUGUGCAGGCUCAGGACUAGGCAAGCUAACGCUUGCCCACCAGCAUCGGAUCCUACCCAGUGUAAGGCUCCUCCAAGGUAAGUAGCCCUCUUCAGUCUUCCCCCACCCUCAUGACCAAGCUAACGAUCAAUCCCCGUCCUACGCCCGAGCACCCCCAAUCGGAAGUCGCUUCAUGUCCUGGACGCACAGCUUGCUCUGAGCCGGCCGAUGGCACAGACCACCCGCCCGCGCGAGGGGCAAAAGCUAGCAAAUUAAAAGCUUGAACCUUUCUGAGGAAGUGAACUUAAAGCAACUUUCCUAAAUUAGCACUCAGGGCGUACAGUAACAUCAUGUAGGCUCGCGAAUUCAAGGGUCUCGUCCCGCAAUCGGGCGAGGCCAGCGAGCUAGCCAGCCGGCGGCAGCCGGCCUCGCC